GACGAACGCUGGCGGCGUGCUUAACACAUGCAAGUCGAACGCUGAGGCUCAGCUUUUGUUGGGUGGAUGAGUGGCGAACGGGUGAGUAACUCGUGAGUAACCUGCCUCCUUCUUUGGGAUAACGCCCGGAAACGGGUGCUAAUACUGGAUAUUCACUGGUCUUCGCAUGGGGGUUGGUGGAAAGGGUUUUUCUGGUGGGGGAUGGGCUCGCGGCCUAUCAGCUUGUUGGUGGGGUGAUGGCCUACCAAGGCUUUGACGGGUAGCCGGCCUGAGAGGGUGACCGGUCACAUUGGGACGGAGAUACGGCCCAGACUCCGGCGGGAGGCAGCAGUGGGGAAUAUUGCACGAUGGGCGCAAGCCUGCUGCAGCGACGCCGCGUGAGGGAUGGAGGCCUUCGGGUUGUGAACCUCUUUCGCUCAUGGUCAAGCCGCAACAAUGGUUGUGGUGAGGGUAGUGGGUAAAGAAGCGCCGGCUAACUACGUG
Molecule: ribosomal RNA, 483 nt
Filed under: uncultured bacterium
Lineage: Bacteria
Description: partial 16S ribosomal RNA
Rfam family: Bacterial small subunit ribosomal RNA
Source: RNAcentral